GAUCCUGGCUCAGGAUGAACGCUAGCGACAGGCUUAACACAUGCAAGUCGAGGGGCAGCGCGGGAGUCAGCUUGCUGACUUCUGGCGGCGACCGGCGCACGGGUGAGUAACACGUAUGCAACGUGCCCGCCACAGGGGGGAUAACCGGGAGAAAUCCCGACUAAUACCGCGUAGUCCCGGGGAAGGCAUCUUCCCCGGGGGAAAGGAGCGAUCCGGUGGCGGAUGGGCAUGCGGCGCAUUAG
RNAcentral lists this ribosomal RNA (242 nucleotides) under uncultured bacterium. RNAcentral describes it as "partial 16S ribosomal RNA". It matches the Rfam family "Bacterial small subunit ribosomal RNA", at positions 15 to 244 of the family's 1533-position model. The record is from RNAcentral.